Molecule: ribosomal RNA, 448 nt
Filed under: uncultured bacterium
Lineage: Bacteria
Description: bacterial SSU rRNA
Rfam family: Bacterial small subunit ribosomal RNA
Source: RNAcentral
GACUAGACUCCUACGGGAGGCAGCAGUGGGGGAUAUUGCACAAUGGGGGGAAACCCUGAUGCAGCGACGCCGCGUGAGUGAAGAAGUAUUUCGGUAUGUAAAGCUCUAUCAGCAGGGAAGAAAAUGACAGUACCUGACCAAGAAGCCCCGGCUAACUACGUGCCAGCAGCCGCGGUAAUACGUAGGGGGCAAGCGUUAUCCGGAUUUACUGGGUGUAAAGGGAGCGUAGACGGUUAUGUAAGUCUGGAGUGAAAGCCCGGGGCCCAACCCCGGGACUGCUUUGGAAACUGUGUAGCUGGAGUACAGGAGGGGCAGGCGGAAUUCCUGGUGUAGCGGUGAAAUGCGUAGAUAUCAGGAGGAACACCGGCGGCGAAGGCGGCCUGCUGGACUGAAACUGACGUUGAGGCUCGAAAGCGUGGGGAGCAAACAGGAUUAGAUACCCGAGUAA